Molecule: ribosomal RNA, 253 nt
Filed under: uncultured bacterium
Lineage: Bacteria
Description: partial 16S ribosomal RNA
Rfam family: Bacterial small subunit ribosomal RNA
Source: RNAcentral
AACGUAGGUGGCAAGCGUUAUCCGGAAUUACUGGGCGUAAAGGGUGUGCAGGCGGGGAAGCAAGUGGGGUGUGAAAUCUCCCAGCUUAACUGGGAUAGGUUAUGCCAGACUGCUUUUCUAGAGGACGAGAGAGGGGGGUGGAAUUCCGGGUGUAGUGGUGAAAUGCGUAGAGAUCCGGAGGAACCCCAGAGGCGAAGGCGGCCCCCUGGCUCGUACCUGACGCUCAGCCACGAAAGCAUGGGGAGCGAACGGG